RNAcentral lists this long non-coding RNA (4475 nucleotides) under Homo sapiens (human). RNAcentral describes it as "non-protein coding lnc-PANK3-13:2". The record is from RNAcentral. Lineage: Eukaryota; Metazoa; Chordata; Mammalia; Primates; Hominidae.
CACUACACUGGCGCUCUUUAGAGUACCCAGCUACCAACAACCCACUGUCAUUUCCAUCAUGCUCCAGCUCUCUCAGUAGCUCUCUGGAAUCAAUGUUGUCUUCUAUUACUCAAUGAGAAUCUUCAAGGAUGCAGGUGUUGAGAAGCCAAUCUAUAGAUUAGUGCAGGAGUGGUUAAUAUUAUCUUCUUGACUGUAGUCUCUCUGUUUGUGGUUGAAAGGGCAGGAAGGACUUUACAUAUGAUAGGUCUUGAGGCAUGGCGUUUUGUUCUGUCCUCAUGAUUGUUUCUUUGUUAUUAAAGGAUGAGUAUGGUGGGAUGAGCUUUGUCUGUAGUGGGGCUAUCUUGGUCUUUGUGGCCUUCUCUGAAGUUGGACCAGACUCCGUUCCCUGGAAUACUGUGGCCACACUCUUCAGUUUGCAAUAGCAGUGGCUGGUUGCUCCAACUGGACCUCCAACUUUCUAGUUGGAUUGCUCUUCCUGAACAAUUAUUAUCUAGUUUAAGUGUGUUGUUGCUUUAGGGUCAUGGCAUGCUUAUGUAUUUCUGUUACCAUCUGACCAUGGUACUAUGCCAAGUUCUCUUAGGGGACCUGAAUCUUUCCAGUAGACCACAUUUGAGAGAGUAUGAGUCAACUGGGCAUAGUUCCCAACAACCCAAAAUACAUACGUACUUCACUGAAGCAGAUCUCAUGAUUCCAUUGACUUCAUUUCUAAAAUUGGACUUUGAGCAGCCAAUUUCUAAGGAUUAAAAAGAAACUUUAAUGCAUUGUAGACCUCUGUACACAGAAAAAUCUUUGUAACUUUUGGGCUUAAUUUUCAUUCUUAAAAAAUCUGGUAACUUUUUCAAAUGCAACCACUGUCAGUUUGCUGUGAGGCUAGGCAAACAACACAAGGUAUAGAAUUUCCCAUCACCACCACCCUGACCCCGCGAGAAGAUUGCCUUUUAAUUAGAGACUUGUAGAACUAGUGCCUUUUAAGUUCUACACUCAUCUUUUCCAAAGACUAUUAGUAAACUUGCCAUGUAAUUUGACAUGGCAGUUCCUUGCUCAGCUACUCUAAAUAAAGUUGGAAAUUAGGUGGUCUCUUAGUUUGGGUAAAGUCAGUACUAUUGCCAGUAAUAUACAUGGUAAUUGAAAGCCCUUAAAGUGGUUCAGAUUAUUUGCCAAAUAUUAGACUCUAUAAAAAUUUCUGAGGUUUUUUUUCUUUUACCUUUGAGUGUACAUGUGAUUGCUAUAAUGUAAAUACCAGUCCCUUAAAGACUGUUUCUAUAAGCAGAAUGAUGCAGCACAAAGUGGAAAGGUUUUCCUCUUAUUCCAGCAGUAUUCUUGCCUUCAAAGAGUAGUCCAUCUUGCCUUGAUUUUUAAGGUUGUUUUCUUGGAUGGAAAGCUUAACUGGAUAGUAAUUUCCAUAUGUUCUUUAUAACCACUCUGUAUAUUAUAAGCAAAGUUUUUUCAUAUUGUAUCUUUUUCUGUUGAGCACUUUAUGCAUUUUAGUCUAUUGCAUUUGAGAAUGUAGUUUAGAAAUUCACUGUUUAAAGCCAUGUGAAAACUGAUAGAGGAUAAUGAAAAUGAGUGUACAUUAUUUUGAAUUUAACUUAACUGUUUUGUGGUGGGUGUGAACAAAACAUUAGAAAUAUAUUAUCUUUUUGUGAUAAUACUCUCUGACCUCACUUAAAGUGAUCUGCCAUGAGGUAUCCAUGAUCAAGUUUAUGUUUAUUCUAAUACCUAAGGAAUUCAGCCAACUUUGUUUCUAUCAUCAGAUAAUCUCAGAAAAUAGUGUGUUUUAUCUAUAUUACUGCCUCUUUUCAAUAUUUAAGAGAAUAAUUGUCUUCUGGUUUCUACUGAGCCUAGUAAUAAUCACUAAAGACCUAAAAAAGGAAUUCCUUCUGUUAAGAGUAUUUGGAUAGCCCAUUCACGAUAAUGGUGGUGUGAAAAUCAAUCAUCCCAGCUUUUCUGACAUAUCUAAAUUUUGAAUAAUUAAUUUCCACUUCCAAAAAAUUCAAAUGUUUUCUCAAAGCAGUCACUACUUAUUUGCAUUAUUCCUGCAUAUUCAGUGAAUGUGAGGUCAUAUUUGGUAUUGUAUUAGAAGUAGUGUUGGUCACUGGUCUUGCCUCUUUGAACAUUAUUUUUAUUUGUAAAAUGAGGGAGUUGGUUUGUUAUGAUGGGAAAUGAGUCAGUUUUCAGGGUCCUGAGAAAAUUGCUUCAUUCAUGGCUGUGUUUGAGAUAACUAAAGUAAAUUUUUUUUCAGGUAUUUGGUGUCAUGUUUUGGAGUUAAUAUUUAGUGCUUAUAUAAUUUUAAGUUAUUACAUAAUUUUUAUUGGUAUAUAUUUGAUAGGUACUAGGUAUUGGAUUCUCACCAAACCAGUAGAAUGGUAUUCUCUCUUAAUAUGUGAUUGCCUGUAAUGGCCAGGUAGAUAUACCUUAAAGUAAUAUGAAAGGUUUUAUAUGUAUAUUAAAAUGUUUGUACUUUUAAAUCUGUAAAGGUUAUCUGGAAUUUUUACUGUGUUAACUUCAGAAUUAUAUGGGCAUUAUGACUUUUUCAUUGUACAAAAAAUUAUUCAUAAAUGUUAGAAUACAGAUGUUCCUUGACUUACAAUAGGGUUAUGUUCCAGUAGACCCAUUGUAAAUUGAAAAUACCGUAAGUUGAAAAUACAUUUAAUACGCCUAACCUACUGAACAUCCCAGCUUAGCCUAGCCUAUCUUAAAUGUGUUCUGAACACUUAACGUUGGCCUUUAGCUGGGCAAAAUCAUCUAAUACAAAACCUAUUUUAUAAUGAAGUGUUUAAUAUCUCAAAUAAGAGUAUUGUACCACAUAUCGUUAUCCCAGGAUAAUAUCAGAGUACAAAAUUUGAAGUACAGUUUUUAACUGAAUGUGUAUUGCUUUUGCCCCAUUAUAAAGUUGAAAAACCAUAAGUCAAACCAUUGUUAAGUCGGACUGUUUGUGUUACAUAUAUUUGGGAUUUUUUAGUGGCCCUUUUUAAAAAGCUGUUUCUUAUUUCUGAUCAUUGUGAGUGGGGAUAGAUGUGGGAAGAACCAUGUCUCUACUAAAAAUACAAAAAAUAGCCAGGCUUGUUGGCACACACCUAUAGUCCCAGCUACUCGGGAGACCGAGGCAGGAGAAUCACUUGAACCGGGAGGCAGAGGGCAGAUCAUGCCACUGUAUUCCAGCCUGGGCAACAGAGUAAGACUCUGUCUCAAAAAUGAAUGAAUGAAUGAAUGAACGAAUGAAUGUACUAUGAGCUGAUACUGGGAUUUCAGGUACCGCAGUUUGUGCUGAAUGAUAUGUUUGGGGUAAAUCAGUUUUUUUCUUAUAGAAUUUCGGCGUUUUUGCUGCAACUGCCACUAAUUUUGCAUUUAAAAGAACAAAAGAGGAAUGUAUUUUUCAAAGGAGUGAAUGAGGUUAAAAUCAAGAUUUUGAAUGGUAUAAAUAUGCAACUAAUUCAGUUGUAGGAUAUUAUUAAAUUUUUUAUUGCUAAAUAUGUUUCUUUCAUACGUUGCAGUGCUUACAGUUCCAACAGCUUUCCAAGAAAACAUUUCCAUAUUUGUGUUAUUUGUAAAGUAUACAUAAAUAAUGUAAAAUAAUUUGGGAUUAUUUCAACUUUACAUUGUAUGUCUGAAUUUCAUCGAUGUUGUACCUGGCUCAGUCAAUAGUUGUCACAGGUAUUAAGCCAUUUUGGAAUUUGCCACUUUUUUCUGGGUAACCUGUUUUAGUUUAGUUUACAGCAUUUAGAAACAGAAGGUAACUUUAUAGAAGUAACACCAAUAUCCUAGUCUGCUUGCCCCGAAUAUAACUAAUAGUAUUAGGAUGUAAGCAAUAUUAAGAUGGUUUUUAUUAUUUUUUAUACACUGUGUGCUUUUACUUUUUAUUUAAACUACAGCAAAAAACUGAUUUUUUAACUAAAAUUGAAUGGCGUUUAUCUUAAUGACCAGUUAUUGACCAAAGUGUACUCAGAAGAUGUUAUUAUGUCCCAAUCUAAGGAAUCCUUUAAUUUGGGGAUUAAUUUUACUUACACAUGCCAUUUCAGUUUCAGUUGCCUCAUUCUAUUACAUCAUUCUUGUCAAGUCUAAGCUUUAUCAUGUCUGAAUUCUUUUAACACUGAAUCUGUGAUGUAAAAAUGUAUGAUGUGCCAUAAAUUUUAUUCAUAAUAAACUAAGUUAUAGCCUAUUGUAAUCUGUAAAACAUUUCUUGUAAAUUACCUAAUUUAUUUUUUCAUUUAUGUACAGUAUCUUAUGUAAAUUUGAAAAAUGUUUGCCAUGGCGCAUUCUGUAAACAUUCCCGUAUUCUUUUCCUUAAUGCUUAUUUGCAUGAAGGUAACUUGGGUUUUGCUUGUUUGUAUUGGAUAACCAUUAAGCCAACUUCAGUUUCUCUGCCUUUUUUUCUGUAGUUUAACCAUUUCUAAUUUUGUUCAUAUUCUAAAUAGAUGUUAGAAUCAUACUUUUUAUUUUCUACUUUCUAAAUAAAUUAUCUAAGUUGUUUACUA